This is a long non-coding RNA of Alexandromys fortis (reed vole), 689 nucleotides long. RefSeq lists it as uncharacterized. The transcript is spliced from 3 exons. The record is from RefSeq and is a predicted model, not a curated record. Lineage: Eukaryota; Metazoa; Chordata; Mammalia; Rodentia; Cricetidae.
CCUGUCACUGCUCCGGCAGGACUGGGGCUGAGGGAGCAGCAGUUUUGGCAGACCACCCAGAUGGCUUGGAUAUUUCGAUAACGCUUGGGGGAAAACCACACAAAGGAAAGGCCUUCACCCACACAUUAAGUGCUGACCUCGGCUAGACCCGCCUCUGCCAGGAAAAAAUACACACAGGUACGGGAGAGCGCACUGAACGGUCACAGAAACGGGAGUACGGAGUCUACAGCCAUUCCUAACCCUCAUCUACACGAAUUUUCGUCCAGCUACGGAUGGAGAUAGAGAGAGACCCUCAUCAGAGCAACGGACUGAGCUCCCAAGGUCCAGCUGAAGAGCAGAAGGAGGGAGAAGAUGAGCAAGGAAGUCAGGACUGUGAGGGGCUGGUCCACCCACUGAGGCAGUGUGCCUGAUCUAAUGGGAGCUCGCCAAAUCCAGCUGGACCAGGACUGAACGGGCAUGUGAUCAAACCAGACUCUGGAUGUGGCUGACAAUUGGGACUGACUGAGAAGCCAUUGAUAAAGGCACUGGGACUUGUUUCUACUGCACGUGCUGGCUUUUUGGGACCCUAGUCUAUUUGGAUGCAAAGCUUCCUAAACCUGGAUGUAGGGGGGAGGGAGGAGGGGGAGUGGGGAAGCGGGAGGGGAAUGGGAGGAGGGGAGGAAGUGUAAAUUUUUGAAUGGGAAAAAAAA